UAAAAGAUAAGCUAAAUUCUAAGCUAAUGGGCUCAUAACCCAUAAAUGAAAUAAAUUUCUCUUUUAA
Molecule: transfer RNA, 67 nt
Filed under: Trapezia septata
Lineage: Eukaryota; Metazoa; Arthropoda; Malacostraca; Decapoda; Trapeziidae
Description: tRNA-Met
Rfam family: tRNA
About the family: Transfer RNA (tRNA) molecules are approximately 80 nucleotides in length. Their secondary structure includes four short double-helical elements and three loops (D, anti-codon, and T loops).
Source: RNAcentral